UACUUUGAAAUACUUCAUUUUACUUUCCAAAUACCUUUUUUUAAAUAUGAACUUCUAUAUUUAUUUCCUUAGAACUUAUUAUUAUUUCCCUCCGAACAAAAAAACAUGAUUGGUUUAUUUACCCAUAAAAUAUUUGAAGUAUGUCAAAUGAAAAAACAUUCCUAGGCCUGGAAGUGAGAAAACACAUUACACUCAUCGAGGUAGAUAUCAUUCUGUGCGUACCUUGCCAUAGACCACAUCGGAUUUUAAGAUUCUAGAUGAACUUCAGCAAAGUGAAGUGAAACCUUUUUCUAACCUGAGAACUGCAGAAAAUUAGCUUGAUUUAUUUAACCUAAGCAAAUAAACUCUUAACUACUUAUGGCAAGUAUAUUUGAACUGAUGUAUCCUUUUUCUAGUUACUGAAUUGUUGUAGUAUUACUUCCUGCCCUUCCAAACUCGUACUGAAAACAUGUACCAAAGAACAUCAUGCAUCAGUGUUCAGAAGACAUACAAGAGCUACACACUGCCGUGAGGUACCAACUUUUCAACGGUUCAGUUCAAAAUUCAACAAUUCAAUUUUCAAUAGAUCAAACCAAGGAAAGACAACUGACCGAAGGGGUGGCCAACGGCCACAGUUGCUCACUGCGUGCACGACAGUGUCCAACAACCUCUAUCCUGGCUCAUUGUGGAACGACGUGCUGGGCGUAAUCCACGGC
This 695-nucleotide long non-coding RNA is filed under the name Triticum aestivum (bread wheat). Its description in RNAcentral is "long non-coding RNA (TAES_LNC016515)". The record is from RNAcentral. Lineage: Eukaryota; Viridiplantae; Streptophyta; Magnoliopsida; Poales; Poaceae.